Molecule: long non-coding RNA, 14780 nt
Filed under: Triticum aestivum (bread wheat)
Lineage: Eukaryota; Viridiplantae; Streptophyta; Magnoliopsida; Poales; Poaceae
Description: long non-coding RNA (TAES_LNC025961)
Source: RNAcentral
GACGAUCACAUAGAGAAAAUUAAGGUCGAAUACAUCAUAGAUAACCACAAACUAGUAUAAUCGAUCUGGAUAUUAACACUACACAGCUACUAGGAUCACACAUACGGCACUAGUCCAUCAAUCGUCACAGCAUGAUUAAUGCACACUCUACGUUAUUCCAUAGAACGACGCCCUUAUCAGUACCUCAUGAGCUGAUCCACGAACAUGAUCCCUUGCAGGUUGCUGCCAGCUGAACUAAUAGGCUGCGUACUGCUUGUCCCACCCAUCACCUCCAAGGAGGAGGCCCAGGCAGCCCAGGUCAUACACCACCUGUUAGGAUUAAUUUAAGAUCAUCAUUGAUCUACCGAGGAUUAAGCAAUCACACGAAUAUGACGCCGAGUGUUAACGAGGUUCACUAAUAUGGAUACAUCCCGGGGCAUCACUACAUGUGCUCCUCCCCAUGACACCGCCAUAAUACCGCACCCUGACCACCCGGACGCCGGCACACGCCGCCGGCUCCCCCGCGUGCAUGUGCUAUUAUGUUGGCAUAUGUUACAUCGUGUGUCUACCCCCGAUAUGUAUGAGAGGCCUAGGAUACAAGUGUCUUAUUAGGACACAACUCCUACCCUGUCUACACACAGUCCAAAACCAAGUCCAAUUGUAACCUACUUUGUAAAAUAAUAUUCGACACCAUUCUAACAAACUCCACCUUGGCGAGUAUUCUCCACCACCUUGGAUUCAUCUAUGUGUCAAACCUCCAUGUACAUUGGACUUGAGAUACGCCAUGAGAACCGCUACUACUCCCAUACUCCAAGUGACGCCGCCUGCAACUGUAGUCCCUUCUCGUCUUCUUCACAAUCAACACUCGAGCAAAAUCAAGUUCCUCAUUAGCUUACUUUGUGCUUCCAAACUUCCGGAGUAUCCGUUCAACGUCAUCACACACCGAUCACUGACCUGCGUGAAAGUGAACAACUCACAUAUUGGAUGUCACAUAUAAGAGUUACCUGAACUCAAUAUCACCUCUCUUUCUUAACUGUCUGUCUGAAACUUGAAGGAAUUUCACCGUCUCCCUAUGUCACCCUGAGUCAAAUUCACAAUUGUCUCAUCCUUUUCCCGAAUAGUCUCUGGCCUGUCCCACAGCUAUAGCACUCCGCCUUCUUUUGUACUUGUCAUUCGCACUUUGCCAUGUGCACUGAAUACCAAUGAAUAUACGGUCAUGUACUCUUCGCUUCUGACAAUUUUACACUUUCCGUCAUUUUCUCAGAUUCUUCAUGGUCAACUCCUGUCCAUCAACCGGCACCGAUAGACCCAUUCACCAACUUGAAUAAUCUGGUACUUGUCAACACUACUUCAACACCCCCUGCACAAUUUGUCUGACCACUAGUGCCUUGGCCCGUUGUUGUGUCCCGUGCUUACCGCACGCCUUGACGAUAUCACCGUGUCGAGCCUCUGCUGUCCUGGCCGAGUCUCUUGGGCCGCGGGCCCACACCACUCAAAUCCCUACUGUAGAGAACCACCGAUCAUCACCGACCGAUGUCGAGUAUCAUGUCUCCAUCAAACCACCGGUACCCAGUCCAAUCCACAUGUCUCUCGCUUUUCCACUGAAAUAGGCUUCGAUUCUCCGAUAUCUUGCACUGUAGCCCCUCUAUCAGCACAUAGUGAAGUCGUCCAUCAAACUCCAGCUCCACCUUCAACAUGACUCCAUGUAGCUGCGCUAUGCUACCCCGCGCCCUGUCGACUUCAAUCUCUCUCAUGUGUACACCGCCUUGAAUCAAUCCCGCGCCAUAGUCUUUGUCGAAGCCGCACAAGCCCUCGGGCCUGCACCGCGUGUUUCCAUGCCCCAGAAGUCGGCCACCAUCAGCAUCACGCUCAUGUGUCGUCAUCGCUGAAAUCACCAUCGUCUUCUGCUUUGACCAACAUCCAUCCAGUCGAUCAUACCAUAUAGUCUGACCCAGCCGAAAUUAUCCGACUGCAAUCAUGCUCCACCCUGCGUCUUGUUCGCCCGCACAUCUCCGUACAUUACUUGACACCCUGUGUAUGCAUGAACCUAACGCGCUCCAGACUCCUGCUUCGAGCCUUAUACGCACGUCGCCAAUCUGCCAUCAUGAUGGUAAAACCUCGUGUCCAAUUAGCAACACUUCCAAAAGAAAUUUACUUUCCUGAUAGUCUCCAUGGGCGCCACAAAAUUUGCUCCCAUAAACUCAAAAGUCCUUUCUGUAUUGUGUUGUUGUCUAUGACACGGUCAAUACCAAACCAUGUAGAUUGCCCUUCUUUUUCUUUUGUCCAAACAAAUCCCCAAUCUGCUGCUCUACAACCUCCUGUAGCAGCAAUGACACAACGCCUUGCAUGCACAAAUUCAUCCAGCCUCAUACGACCAAUGCACUCCUGCACGGCUCCUGCGUGCCUACCUGGCUAGUGCCCACACUAGCCACGUUGCGCCGGCCUCCCCUGGGCUUCGUCCUUGAUGGGCCUGACGCGCGCCCUGGACUAGUGCCCUGACUAGCCACGCUACCGCCUCGUCUUCGAUUCGAUCUCGCGAACGCGUUCCGAUCCGAAUCAUGCCGCUACUGUAGGCUUACCUGCUACUGUUGCCUUUCGGUUGCUGAUCCAAUCUCACUAGUACCCUGCGGCCUCGCUCAGGAUUGCCCGCGCCUCGUCGCAUGAUGCGCCUGCACCCGCUGUUGCCGCCGUCCCAACAUGAUUUGGCCGACACAUCUUCUGCCGUUUUCGAUCGCUUCUCCUCUAGAACAACAAUCUCCGACCUCCUUGAACCUCGCUCAUGAUACCACUUGUGUGACGCCCCCGAUUCAAUUAUACACUAAUCAUACAUGCAAACGUGUACGAUCAAGAUCAAGGACUCACGGGAAGAUAUCACAACACAACUCUACAAAUAAAAUAAGUCAUACAAGCAUCAUAUUACAAGCCAGGGGCCUCGAGGGCUCAAAUACAAGAGCUCGAUCAUAGACGAGUCAGCGGAAGCAACAAUAUCUGAAUACAGACAUAAGUAAACAAGUCUGCCUUAAGAAGGCUAGCACAAAAGUAGCAAUGAUCGAAAAGGCAAGGCCUCCUGCCUGGGUCCCUCCUAAACUACUCUUGAUCGUCGUCAGCGGCCUGAACAUAGUAGUAGGCACCUCCAGUGUAGUAGGAGUCGUCGUCGACGGUGGCAUCUGGCUCCUGGACUCCAACUUUUGGUCGCAACAACCGGGUAUAGAAAGGGGAAAAAGAGGGAGCAAAGCAACCGUGAGUACUCAUCCAAAGUACUCGCAAGCAAGGAGCUACACUACAUAUGUAUGCAUUGGUAUCAAAUGGAAAAGGGUAGCAUAUGUGGAGUGAACUAUAGAAUGCCGGAAUAAGAGGGAGAUAGCUAGUCUUAUCGAAUACUAUGCUUCUGGCAACCUCCAUCUUGAAGCAGAAGAAGAGAGUAGAUGGUAAGUUAACCAAGUAUCAUCGCAUAGCAUAAUCAUACCCGGCGAUCCUCCCCUCGUCGCCCUGUGAGAGAGCGGUCACCGGGUUGUAUCUGACACUUGAAAGGGUGUGUUUUAUUAAGUAUCCAGUUCUAGUUGUCAUAAGGUCAAGGUACAACUCCGGGUCGUCCUUUUACCGAGGGACACGACUAUUCGAAUAGUUAAACUUCCCUGCAGGGGUGCGCCGCAUUUCCCAACACGCUAGAUCCCCUUUGGCCAAACACACUUUCUUGGGUCAUGCCCGGCCUCGGAAGAUCAACACGUUGCAGCCCCACCUAAGCACAACAGAGAGGUAAGCACGCCGGUCUAAAUCCUAAGCGCGCAGGCGUCUGGGCCCGUCGCCCAUUGCACACCUACACGUUGCGUACGCGACCGUGAGAAGACCUAGCAACCUCCAUUACAAAGGAAGUGCGUUACGCGGUCCAGCCCGGCGCGCGCCGCUCAGUCGCUAAUGUCAUGGAGGCUUCGACUGAUACCACGACGUCGAGUGCCCAUAACUGUUCCCACGUAGUUGGUUAGUGCGUAUAGGCCGGUGGCCAGCCUCAGAUCAAAUACCAAGAUCUCGUUAAGCGUGUUAUCUUGAAGUAACCGCGAACGCCGACCAGAGGGCCGUCGGGACAAAGGUCCUUUCAGCCCCCAAUCUGUGAAUCACUCGCGGGUACUCUACGAGCCGACCCGUCUUUAUUUAUCACAUGUAUCAUGUAUAUGUAUAUAUGUAUAUACCCGUGAUCACCUCCCUAGUGAUCACGGCCUGAUAGUAUAGCACGACAGACGGACAAGAAUGUAGGGCCACUGAUGAUAAACUAGCAUCCUAUACUAAGCAUUUAGGAUUGCAGGUAAGGUAUCAACAACUGUAGCAACAAUGACAGACUAUGCAACAGAAUAGGAUUAACGAAAAGCAGUAACAUGCUACACUACUCAAGUGCAAGCAAUAGAGAGAAGAAUAGGCGAUAUCUGGUGAUCAUGGGGGUGGCUUGCCUGGUUGCUCUGGCAAGAAGGAGGGGUCGUCAACAACGUAGUCGAUCGAGGCACCAACAUCGGCGCCAGUCUCGUAGUCUAUCGGAGAGAAGGGGGGAGAAACAAUGAAUACAAAGCAAACAGAUGCAUAACGAUACAUGGCAAGACAAUGAGCGUUGCUAGGUGUGCCCUAACGCGGUAGAAGGUGAUACCGGUGAAGGGGAAAACAUCCGGGAAAGUAUCCCCAGUCUUUCGCUUUGUCGCACAGAUGAAACAGAGGGGGGAAGUUGCGUGUUCGCUAUGCUAGGGAUGUGUGACGGACGAACGGGCUGGGUAUCCGAAUUUCUCUCGUCGUUCUGAGCAAUUUUCAUGUACAAAGUUUUUUCAUCCGAGCUACGGUUUAUUUUAUAUUAAUUUUCAAAGUUUUAAUGAAUUUCCAAAUUACUGGAUUUAUUUUAAUUCAAAAAUAAAAGCAGAAUAAACUUAUGCUACCUAGGGCUACCCUAGCCUAGGAGUAUGACAUUGGGGUCCAGGGGUUGAGUCAGCCCAGUUAAUUAUUGACUGGUCAACAAAGUCAAAGGGACCCAGAGGGGUCCCACCUGUCACUGACUGGGAGUGCCCAGUCAGCAGAGUUGAAUGGUCAAAGUGGUCCGGUGGGGGCCCAGGUGUCAUUGGCACAUCUGUUAGACUUGCUAUUUUAUUUACUUUAGCUAGGUUUAAUUUACCAGGGGGCCCAGUAGUCAUCGAAUAAUUAGGAGGGGGUUAAUUAGAUUAGAAACUAAUCUAAACUGGCCAGGAUUCCCCAGUCAGAGGCAACACCGGCCUCUUGGCUGUGCGCGCACGCAAACUGGGGGUCGGCCAUGGCCGCGUGAGCGCUGAGAGCAGCGGGCCGCGGCUAGCGGAAGCGGGACCGGCCAAGCGUAGCAGCAGGAGGCCAUGGCAGCGCUAGGUAGCGGCGGCGCAGAGCGGUCAGCCGCACGACAGCAGCAAGCAACACAGGGGGCCGCAACAACAUCAAAAGGCAGCCGCGGCCGGGACGGGCACUGGCGCGGCCAGGGCGAGCAGCUGGCGAAGGCAACGCUGGCGGAGCGCGGCAACUGGUAGCGGGGUGUGGCAUCUAGGCGUGGCCGGGUGGAGUAGAACGGACGGCCGGCGGGGAACGCUGCGACCGUGGGCGGGCGAGCGCACGGGCGCGGGACGCUGACGUGGCACACGGGCGCACGGGGACUUCGACGGUGUUUCGAGCUCGCGUGCAGUGCACAGUCACGAGCAUGGACGCGACGAGCGCGGGGACGUGCGGCCAUGGCGGACGGCAGAGCUCAGCUUCACGGGGACGGCGACUGAGCACACUAGAGCGUGAAGAGAUGGAAUGGAGAGAUGCGGAGGCUCACCGAGCGGCUCAAGGAGGCCGGCGACGGUUUAGGAGCGCAGAGGCGAGGUGGAUCGAUGCGGUGCAGCGACGUCAGGCGACGGAAGGGGGCGAGGUGAUGGAGGCGCUGCACUGCUCCCCGCGACGGAAAAGAGCGCCAGGGAGAAGGAGUCGAGGUCGCCGAAGCUCCUGGACCAGUCGCGGUGACGGGUGGACGCCGGCAACCGUGACGGUGACAGCGACGCGUCGACGAGUCCACUCGGGCGAGGCGGAUGCAUCGAGGGAGAGAGGGGAGUGAAUCUGGGUGGGGGUGAGUGGGGGUUUGGGGAGCCCAAGGGGUCGCGGGCUUCGACCUAAUCGCCUCACCGACGACGUGGACGGGGACGAGCAGGUUUGACGGCGACCGCGCCCGCUCGGUCGGGUGAACAGGGGCGCAGGGAUGACGACAGAGGAUGGGGAGUUGGGCUGGCUGGGCCGACCAGGCUGGAUGAGGCCCAGGGCAGGGGCCUUUUCCUCUACUUGAACUUUUGUAAUACCUUUUCUUUUAGUAGUUUCAGUUUUCCCAAUUCUUUUAAACCGAAAUAGUUUUAUAAAAAAAUAUAAGAAUUGCACCUAAAAUAUUAUUAUAAUUUAGGCUAUUGCCACAUUAAGUUUGGUGACUAAAUAAACUAGUUUAGUAUUGGUUUAUUAUUUUAAAAACAUUUAAAUCAUUGUUUUUUGCUACUGUUUUAAAUAUUUAGGACACCCAAAUAUUUUAUUAAACAUUGAUUUCUUCACCAAUAUUAUUUAUGGAUUAUUUUCCACAUUUCAACACUUUACUUUUGAUAUUAGAAGACUUUAAUUGUUUGACUUUUUUUUUAGUUUGAAUUUUGAAUUGAUUUGAAUCAAUGUGAGACUUAGCAAUAGUAACAGUGAUGACAUGGCAUCAUUAGCAGGGGAUUACUGUUGCUUGAUUAUCCGAGCGUUACAACUUGUUAGGAUUAAUUCGAGGUCAUCAUCGAUCUACCGAGGAUCAAGUAAUCACAUGAGCACGACGCCGAGAUUUGUUAAUGAGGUUCACCGAUAUGGCUACAUCCCCGGGGCACCACUACGAGCGCUCAUCCCCAUGACACCGCCACAAUACCGCAUCCCGACCACCCGAGCGCUGGCACACGCCGCCGGCUCCCCCGCGUGCAUGUGCUAUUAUGUUGGCAUAGGUUACAUCGUGUGUCUACCCCCGAUAUAUAUGAGAGGCCUAGGAUACAAGUGUCCUAUUAGGACAUAACUCCUACCCUGUCUACACACAGUCCAAAAUCAAGUCCAACUGUAACCUACUUUGUACAAUAAUAUUCAACACCACUCUAACACCACCAUGACGCAGAUGACCCACGGUGUAAAAGACCAUGCCGACUGUGUAUCCUGGGUCAGCGGCGAGGAGGACCCAGACUGCGCUGGCAUACAUGCAAUGGACGAGGAUGGUGAGCGCGAGCGCGAGGUAGGCGAGGGCACGACGAGCCCAGUGACGGCGACAUGGGAGCAGCAGCGCCAGCGCUGCUGUGGCCGCCUAGGAUGCGGCGCAGUAGAUCAUCCCGAUCUAGAGGGUGCUUUCCCUGGCGGCCUCAGCGUCCGUCAGCUCGACGCACCGUAGACUGAACAACGACUGCACCAUACCAGCUUGUCGCAUGAUGGAUCUAUGGCAAUGACAAUUUUCGAGGGAUAGUACACGGGUAGGUAGUUAGUUAAUUAACUUGUUGCACGGGAGGUCGAAGUGGGCAGCUCUGUAGUAGCCGCAGGCGAUGGCGAAAGCGUUGAUGAGCGCCCAUCCGCAGACGAGUGGCCGUGGGACAUGUUGAUGACAUGCAACUGAGGUGCGCCAUGCGGGCGGCCAAGCUUCGUGACAUUGAGGUCACUAUUGGUAUGUCGGUCAACACUUCCAAUUCCAUUUUACAUUUUUCUAAUGAUGAGAUUAUUCAUAAUACAAAUCAGUUAGGAGUUUCACUAGGUAGUAAUGAUAGCGAAAUCUAUAAAUCCAUUAAUGAUAUCCUGAAUCUUGAAGCGGCACGCGCUUUAGAACUGAUUCGAAACUUAGCAGCGGUCAAAUCUAUGAACGAUUCCGACAUAGAUGCAUUGGGAGUCAGAGUUCUCGAUAGUUUUUGUGCGGAUCUUGCCCCAUCCCUUCCUGAGACAGAGGAGGAUGAUGGUUCUAUUUCCCUAAGGGAUUCUAUCCCUAUCGAUUCUCAGGCAGUUAGGUCCAUGGAGCCCGGUUGUGAGGACCGGGUGGAGGAUCAAAACAAGUCUAAACGCAAGUGGAAGCGAAAGAUUUAUCCAGCUCCGGCUGUGCGUAGAAGUUCUAGGAACCGUACUACUAAAAAAAUUCAUGAUGAAAAUAUGAGCGGAAUCUUUUGGAAUAGCAAAGGUCUAACAUACUUGGCUAAAAGAAGGUUUCUAGCAGAUGCUUCUGUCGAACAUAAGUUGGAUUUUAUCGCCCUCUCUGAAACUGGAAGGAACAAUUUUACCCCCUAGUUUCUAAGUACUUUAUCGGGGGGUGUCGAUUUUGAUUGGCAUUGCCUACCUCCGAGAGGAAGAUCCGGUGGGAUCUUACUCGGGGUUAAAUGUGAGACGUUGGAAGUCCGAAGUGUGGUUAUGGGAGAUUUCGCUGUUAAGUUUUGGGUUAGAUCGAAGGCCGAUGGGUUUAAUUGGGCACUGGUGCGGUAUAUGGAGCCGCGCAACCAGAACUCAAACCAGAGUUUUUGGCUGAUCUUGCCCGCAUUUGUGGUACUGAGCAGCUUCCAAUCUUGGUUGGGGGCGACUUUAACAUUAUUAGAAGGAGAGAGAGGAAAAGAACAAUGAUAACUUUAACGGCAGAUGGUCGUUCUUGUUUAAUACAAUUCUUGAAAGCUUAGAUCUGAGAGAGAUAGAGCUUUCGGGUAGAAAAUUCACUUGGGCUAAUACAUUGCCAAACCCGAUGUUUGAGAAGCUGGAUCAUGUCCUCGCAAGCGUCGAAUGGGAGCAGAAAUUUCCCCUGGUAACAUUCCAAGUGUUAUCGCGCGCGAUCUCUGAUCACACCCCUUUGCUGGUUGACUCUGGUGAGGCAACGCAUGUGGGGAAUAAAAAUACCUUCUCUUUUGAAUUGGCAUGGUUUGAAAGAGAAGGUUUCUUGGAUCUGAUAGCCGGGAAUGGGCUAAAGAUGCAGGAGGGAGGACAUCUGUUGAAAGAUGGCAGAAUAAGAUAAGGCAUUUAAGAAGUUUCUAACAUGGGUGGGCUAAGCAUCUGAGUGGGAUUCAUAAGGUUGAAAAGGAAAGGCUCUUUACACUUAUUCAGUCCCUAGAUUUAAAAGCCGAGUCCACAAUUCUAGAGACCAGGGAGCUGGAAACUAAUGUGGACGUGGAGAUGAGACUGAAAGAACUCCUGCGAGAGGAGGAAUUGAAGUGGGCAUUGCGAGCUAAGGUUCGCAAAAUUGUCCAAGGGGAUGAUAACACUCAAUUCUUUCAUAUGAUCACCAAUGGAAAGCACUGAAAGAAAAGAAUUUUUCAGCUUGAGCAAGAUGAGGGGACGAUCUUAGGACAGGAAAACCUAAAAUUAUACAUAAACAAGCAGCUGUUUGGGCAUUCGGAGGAUAAUUCCGUAUCCUUGGAUGAGUCGAGGGUUGAGGAUGUUCCUCAACUUGCUACGGAUGAUAAUUAUAUUUUGACUGCCCCAUUUUCGAAGAAAGAGGUGUUUGAAGCUAUUUCACAAAUGAAGAAUAAUAAAGCUCCAGACCGGAUGGUUUUCCGGCGGAGUUUUAUAAAAAGUGUUGGCAUAUUAUUAAAGGGGAUUUGAUACCGAUGUUCCAUGGUUUAUUCUUUGGGCAGCUUCAGUUGUUUCAUUUGAAUUUUGGAAUGAUAACUUUGCUUCCUAAGAAAACAGAGGCCGUGAGAAUUGAGCAGUUCAGGCCGAUCUGUCUUCUUAAUGUAAGUUUCAAAAUUUUCACCAAGGUUGGGACUAAUAGACUUACAUAGAUUGCGCACUCUGUGGUGCAGCCGUCCCAAACUGCUUUCAUGCCGGACAGAAACAUCCUAGAAGGGGUUGUGGUCCUACAUGAAACGCUCCAUGAAAUUCACACGAAAAAACUAGACGGGGUUGUUUUCAGAGUGGAUUUCGAAAAAGUGUAUGAUAAAGUCAAAUGGCCAUUUCUUCAACAGGCCUUGCGCAUGAAAGGUUUCGAUCAGUCCUGGAGACACCAGGUAGAAUCUUUCACGCAAAAAGGGAGUGUUGGAAUUGAAGUGAAUGAUGACAUAGGUCACUACUUCCAAACACAUAAGGGCCUACGACAAGGAGAUCUGAUGUCACCUAUUUUGUUCAACAUAGUAGUCGACAUGUUGACGAUUUUAAUAGGAAGGGCUAAGGAUGCUGGUCAGGUAGGUGGCUUGGUUCCUCAUCUAGUUGACGGAGGUGUGUCUAUCCUACAGUACGCCGAUGAUACUAUCAUCUUCAUGGAGCAUGACUUGGCAAAAGGGCGAAACAUGAAGCUGGUGCUAUGCUUAUUCGAACAAUUGACCGGGUUAAAGAUGAACUUUCAUAAAAGCGAAUUGUUCUGUUUUAGAAGAGCCAAUGAGGAACAAGAUGCUUACAAACAAUUGUUCAGGUGCGAAUUGGGGGCUUUACCUUUCAUGUAUUUGGGUAUACCAAUUCACCAUCGUAAGCUGACAAAUAGAGAAUGGAAGUGUAUUGAGGAUCGAUUUGAGAAGAAACUGAGCUGCUAGAAGGGCAAGCUGAUGUCAUACGGAGGCCGAUUAAUUCUCAUUAAUUCGGUUCUCAUGAGUAUGCCAUGUUUCUCUUGUCCUUUUUCGAGGUACCAGUUGGAGUUCGGAAAAGGCUUGACUUCUAUCGAUCACACUUCUUCUGGCAGAGUGAUGGAUUAAAGCAAAAUUACAGACUCGCUAAAUGGGAUAUUAUUUGUCGACUGAAAGACCAAGGGGGUCUAGGUAUUGAAAAUCUUGAGGUGUAGAACACAUGUCUUCUCAGUAAGUGGCUGUAUAAGCUAUCUGUAUAGACGGAGGCCACAUGGGCGCAUAUUCCGCAUAAUAAGUACCUUCACUCCAAAACUUUGUCCCAGGUGACAGUGAGGCCGACGGACUCGCCUUUUUGGAAAUGACUGAUGAGAGUUAAAUCAGUCUUUUUCAAUAGGACAAAGUUUAUAGUUGGAAACGGUACCACUAUGAGAUUUUGGGAGGAUACAUGGCUAGGGGAAACACCCCUCGCGCUUCAAUAUCCUUCACUUUAUAGUAUUGUUCAACGAAGAGACGCUUAGGUUGCAUCAGUACUUCAGUCCACUCCUCUCAAUAUUCACUUCAGGAGGACGCUAGCCGGAAACCGUUGGGAAGCCUGGAUCCAUCUCGUAAGAAGACUGAUGGAUGUUCAGCUUUCUCAAUGGCCCGAUCAGUUGUGCUGGAAGCUAACUAGGAACGGAGAGUUUACGGUUAAAUCCAUGUAUAUCAAUGUUAUCAACUCUAGCUCUAUUCCUAGUUCGAAACAUAUUUGGAAAGUCAAAGUACCUUUGAAAGUUAAAGUGUUUAUGUGAUUUGUACAUAAACAAGUCAUUUUAACUAAGGACAACUUGGCAAAAUGCAACUGAACAGGAUCUACAAGAUGUAGUUUUUGUGAUCGGGAUGAAUCCAUCAAACACCUCUUUCUUGACUGUCCUUUGGCAAAAAAAUUGCGGCGGACGAUUCACACAGCCUUUAAUAUUACUCCUCCGAAUACUAUCAGCACGUUAUUUGGGACGUGGCUUGACGGGAUAGAUUCCGAAACAGCGAGACACAUUCGUGUAGGAGUAUGUGCUUUAUUAUGGGCAGUCUGGAGCUGCAGAAAUGAUUUGGUCUUUAACAGAACAACAAACAUUCAUUUUUUGCAGGUUAUUUUCCGAGCCACUGCGUUGAUCCGUAUGUGGUCGCUACUCACUCCGACGAAGGCCAGGGAGCGUAUGGUUACUGGAUCUAUCCGAUGGGAGAUGGUAGCACGGGCUAUUUUCAACCGGUUUAAAUGGCGGUCAUGUAAUAGGAUAGGCAAUUAGUGUUUCUAUCUUUUUUAUGCCAGCCGGUUGUGACUUUAUUUUUUGCUCUUUGUGAGCAUUUUUCGUUCUUUUGUUUGAGAGAUGAUGACUUGUGUUGAACCUAUUUGCUUAUUAAUAAGUAUGACAGUAUGCAUCGUUCUAAUGCAGAGACCGGGGAUCACCUUUUUUUCACCUCGUGAUUUCAACCUCGUGAUUUCUAGUGCAGAGACGAGAUCAGCAACAAUGUUCCCCUAGGGGACUCACCGUGACAGGAAAGAAGAAGAAAAACACAUUAGCAAGUUGGCCGGAGAUGGAGGGGACUCACCGUAACUCGCUGGUCGGAUGCACGCGAGGUUCUUCGCUUGGUGUGCUUAUUCUUUCCUGAAGGGGCUCGAGCUGCAAUCGCACAGCACAUCGGCCACGCUAGUGGUGGAUGGGCUGUUUAAGUGGCCGAGCAGCGAGAGAGAGAAGCAAAGCGACUCGAUCGGCAUGGGGCUGCCCCAAUACCCACUACGUGUCGAGCAGUCGCAGCAUGAGCUGCACACACACACACACAGACUGUGAGGAGAGUCUGGUGCGGUGCGGCAUGUAAAGAAGCAAGCAUGUGACGGUCUCUUCCCAUGGAAAUGACAAAGGGAAACUGCCGCGAAGUUGCCCCUAUACCCUGUUUGGCAAUGCAGUGGUGGGACGACGCCCAUCAGACCCAGCACUCGCACAUGCAUGCUGCAUACGCAUGUAAUAACGCCCGCUUCGUGCACGGCGCACCAGCCACACCACUCCAACCCGGUGGCUCAUAUUCACAUUUUGAUCAGCUAGCUAGCUAGCACAAUGAUUGACUGGAUUACAUUGUUAAUCUUUUUCGACGCUUGGAUCAGUUGGAUGAGUUACAUUGUUGACGUCAUCGAUUAGGUUUUUGAGGAGUUCAUUCAUCAACUUGUUUAUCUUCACUGAGAAUGGGAGCUGCUCCACCUACCAUCAAAGCCCUACACAGUUUAACUUGACCCUUGUCAAAAGAAAGAAAAACAUGAAUGCGACAUGCAUUUGCCAAGGCAUAAAGCAUCCAUACCCUCUGUGGCAAUGCAGUGGGCCGCUGUUAAUUUCUUUACACACAUGUGAAUGAAUGGAUAUAGCAAACUAGCUAAGCGUUGGGACGCUUAAUUUCUUUGCAGUGGACGGCCUUACCACGUACGUGCACAUAUGCACAUUGUACAUGGCAGUAAAAUGCUACCUAGCCAGCUCUUUUUAAUUGGCUGCACGUGCACGGCUUCAUUGUUUGUGUGGUUCAAUUGUUCAUGGAAUAACGAAAAAAUUGUAUUACUCACACAUGACGUGGUCAAAAUCUUUGUAAGCCAUUUACUGGAAGCUUAUGAUGAAAAUUCUGGCCUGAUAAGGCCGUUAGAAAAUGUAGUUCUCCUUGUCAGUAAUACAAGUAACUGCCUGAAAAAAAGUUCCAACUAACGUGAUCUCUAGUAGAAUACUGCAUACGCGUAAUAACCAGCCACACCCACUUUUUGAGCAGCAAGCUAGUACAAUAAUAUUUCUAUGGCUCAGAUGAGACAUCAACGGUCACUAGCCAGCCUAGAUGCCACAGCAUGCAUGCAAAACUACCCUCCUCUCGUCUUAGCCCGGCAAACUAAACGGUGUGGAAAGUUCAGGGUAGUAUCCUAACCGGUUUUGGAGUUGAGGUUGUAAAUUAUAAUAAGAAAUGAGUUCAAGGAUGACCUAUGCACUUGUCCUUUGAGUGAACUAUAUAUGUCUAACAAAGUUUGAUUACACCUUUCGGAUACCCAUUAAUUUGAUAUGUUCUAGAAGGUGUAAGUUGUGGAACAAUUCCAUCUUUACAUGAUUGCUAAGACUCAAAUAUUCGACUCCAUGACUAGGCGGAAGAAACUUAAUUUUUUGAAGGUUUAAGGAGGAAUGUUGUGUUUCUUUUUCCUUUUCUAUAAAACAUUAAGGCCUCUUUUGGUUCAUAGGAUAGAAUUAUCAUAGGAAUAGGAAUCUUGUAGAAAAUGAGAUGACAUGUAUCUCAAAUUCUAUGAGUAGGAAUAGGAAACAAGAUGUCAUUUGGUUGACAUCAAAGGAAUUUUUUCCAUUGAGUCUAGACUUUUUUUUAUUUUCCUAUGAAAUGUGGAGGAUAGUAACCAAUCCUAUGGAGGAAUAGGAAUCCAUUCCUAUGAACCAAAGGGCUCUAAAGGAAAAAAUCCUAUAAGAAUCCUAUCCUCUAAAAUUCCUAUGAAAUUCCUCUAAACCAAAGGAGGCCUAACCGGAUGUGGCUACGCACAGUGAAACCGCUCACACAAGUCAAGUGUCCGGGUGUGGAUUCCAAAGGCAAAAUGGGCAUCAAAAGAAGGGCCUCACUUGGCACGAGGGCAUUCUAAGCCAUAGCGUCCCGUACAUCCAGCCGUGAUUGCAUGAUCACAUGGGUCACUCAAUCUCAACCCAGAGGAUACGCCUGAAAAUUCUAGACUGACGGAGUAAUAUGGGUGUUUUACACAUCUCUUCGUUAACAAAUCUUCACCGGCCCCUGAUUUUCAGGGGGUGUGGGCCCCUCAUCCCCUUUCCUUCCAAUCAAAUUAUCCCAGCUCAGCAUCCCCGUAAAUCUCGGUAAAAAUUAGCCCGUGUGUGUAGCAUUGCUCGGAUACGCCAGCAGAUGCGGGAAUUAAUGAAAAAACAAUUUUUAACACCAGAAACAACAUGUGUGCAUGGAUAUACACUGGAGCAACAAUUUCACCAACAUAUAGCAUAUAACUCAUGUCUGACGAUCACAUAGAGAAAAUUAAGGUGGAAUACAUAGGAUAACUACUAGAAUCGAUCCAGUCUAAUUAUAUAGCCAGCGAGCAUUGCCCAAAUGGAGUAAUAUAAUUAACUAGUAGAGUCGAUCUGGAUAUUAACACUGCACUAGAUACGGCACUACUCCAUCAACCGUCACAGCAGAAUGAAUGCAUACUCUACGCUCUCAUCAGUACCUGGUGGAAUAUCACUGAUCCACGAACAUGAUCAG